CCACUGAGUAUUAAAUGGCCGUGGUAUUUUGACCGUGCUAAGGUAGCAUAAUCAUUAGUUUUUUAAUUAAAAACUGGAAUGAAGGGUUUGAUAAGAAAGUAACUGUCUCUAUUUAAUUUUAUUAGAAUUUUAUUUUUAAGUUAAAAAGCUUAAUUAUUUUUAAAAGACGAGAAGACCCUAUAGAGUUUAACUAAAUGCUUAAUUUAAUAUUUUAGAAUUUAAUUAUUAAAUAAAUUAUUUAGUUUAGUUGGGGUGAUUGAAAAAUUUAAUUAACUUUUUUUGAAAACAUACAUAAAUUUAUGAAUAAUUGAUCCAAUAUUUUUGAUUAAAAGAUAAAAUUACCUUAGGGAUAACAGCGUAAUUUUUUUUUAUAGUUCUAAUUGAAAAAAAAGAUUGCGACCUCGAUGUUGGAUUAAAAUUAAUAUUUGGUGUARAGGCUAAAAUAUUAGGUCUGUUCGACCUUUAAAAUUUUAC
This 474-nucleotide ribosomal RNA is filed under the name Lamprolina aeneipennis. Its description in RNAcentral is "partial 16S ribosomal RNA". It matches the Rfam family "Bacterial large subunit ribosomal RNA", at positions 1913 to 2599 of the family's 2925-position model. The record is from RNAcentral. Lineage: Eukaryota; Metazoa; Arthropoda; Insecta; Coleoptera; Chrysomelidae.